Non-coding RNA from Ameiurus melas (black bullhead), 73 nucleotides. The record is from the annotation of a GenBank genome assembly. Lineage: Eukaryota; Metazoa; Chordata; Actinopteri; Siluriformes; Ictaluridae.
GCAGUGGUGGCUUAGUGGUUAAAGGCUCUGGCCUACUGAUCAGAAGGUCAGGAAUUCAAGCCCCAGCACUGCU